ACGGGGGCCCGCACAAGCGGUGGAGCAUGUGGUUUAAUUCGAUGCAACGCGAAGAACCUUACCUGGUCUUGACAUCCACAGAAGAAUCCAGAGAUGGAUUUGUGCCUUCGGGAACUGUGAGACAGGUGCUGCAUGGCUGUCGUCAGCUCGUGUUGUGAAAUGUUGGGUUAAGUCCCGCAACGAGCGCAACCCUUAUCCUUUGUUGCCAGCGAUUAGGUCGGGAACUCAAAGGAGACUGCCAGUGAUAAACUGGAGGAAGGUGGGGAUGACGUCAAGUCAUCAUGGCCCUUACGACCA
This 297-nucleotide ribosomal RNA is filed under the name Salmonella enterica subsp. enterica serovar Agona. RNAcentral describes it as "partial 16S ribosomal RNA". It matches the Rfam family "Bacterial small subunit ribosomal RNA", at positions 913 to 1210 of the family's 1533-position model. Lineage: Bacteria; Pseudomonadati; Pseudomonadota; Gammaproteobacteria; Enterobacterales; Enterobacteriaceae. The record is from RNAcentral.